GUGAGAAUCUCUGCCUCGAGACACAACAACAAGUUGUUUGUCCCACAUCAUGCUGGGGUGGCUGGGAGGGGAUAGGGUGAGACAGGGAGCAGCCACUCCACUGAAGACCAGGCCAUGCAGAGGGGAUGAGAAGGGCAGCGUUACCUCCCGAGAGGCUACUCCAAGGAGAGCGGCUCGGGGUCACUGUUUCCCCCUUUUCAGGCUGGCCCGCUUCACUAUCUGCGCCCCCUUCCUGCCCUCUAUCAGGUCCGGCUGUAGGCCACUCCCUCUCAGCUCCACCUGCAGACAGCAGCAGAGACAGAAAGCAGGACAGAUCGCAAAGACGGGCAGAACACAGGCAGAAGAUCGAAAGGAGGCCACACGGAGGUGGCAGACACACUGCCCACCAGGGAGAAGAGAGACUGGAGAGAGAGCUCAUAAAGAGCAGGAAACCCGGCUCAGCAUGUAGCAGGAGCCAUGCCAGGGCUCCCAGGGCGUGGGCGGCGCCCCUGAGGGUCUGGGAGGCCUGAAGACGAACGGUCGAGCUCACAAUUGUGCACUUGGCCCUC
Long non-coding RNA from Homo sapiens (human), 548 nucleotides. NCBI's taxonomy places the organism in Eukaryota, Metazoa, Chordata, Mammalia, Primates, Hominidae. The record is from Ensembl.